AACGAACGCUGGCGGCAUGCCUAACACAUGCAAGUCGAACGAGACCUUCGGUCUAGUGGCGCACGGGUGCGUAACACGUGGGAAUCUGCCCUUGGGUUCGGAAUAACAGUUGGAAACGACUGCUAAUACCGGAUGAUGACGUAAGUCCAAAGAUUUAUCGCCCGAAGGAUGAGCCCGCGUCGGAUUAGCUAGUUGGUGGGUAAAGCCUACCAAGGCGACGAUCCGUAACUGGCUGAGAGGACGACCAGUCACACCGGAACUGAGACACGGUCCGGACUCC
This 280-nucleotide ribosomal RNA is filed under the name uncultured bacterium. RNAcentral describes it as "partial 16S ribosomal RNA". It matches the Rfam family "Bacterial small subunit ribosomal RNA", at positions 29 to 339 of the family's 1533-position model. The record is from RNAcentral.